GUGUCAGCCGCCGCGGUAAUACGGAGGGGGCUAGCGUUGUUCGGAAUUACUGGGCGUAAAGCGCGCGUAGGCGGUUUGCCAAGUCAGAGGUGAAAGCCCGGGGCUUAACCUCGGAAUUGCCUUUGAGACUGGCAGGCUUGAGUACGGGAGUGGUAAGUGGAAUUCCGGGUGUAGAGGUGAAAUUCGUAGAUAUUCGGAAGAACACCAGUGGCGAAGGCGGCUUACUGGACCGUUACUGACGCUGAGGCGCGAAAGCGUGGGGAGCAAACAGGAUUAGAUACCCUGGUAGUCCACGCCGUAAACGAUGGGUGCUAGAUGUUGGGGGCCUUUGGCUUCCGGUGUCGCAGCUAACGCGUUAAGCACCCCGCCUGGGGAGUACGGCCGCAAGGUUAAAACUCAAAUGAAUUGACGGGG
This 414-nucleotide ribosomal RNA is filed under the name uncultured prokaryote. RNAcentral's name for it is "partial 16S ribosomal RNA". It matches the Rfam family "Bacterial small subunit ribosomal RNA", at positions 505 to 918 of the family's 1533-position model. The record is from RNAcentral.